Molecule: ribosomal RNA, 425 nt
Filed under: uncultured bacterium
Lineage: Bacteria
Description: bacterial SSU rRNA
Rfam family: Bacterial small subunit ribosomal RNA
Source: RNAcentral
UGGGGAAUUGUUCACAAUGGGCGCAAGCCUGAUGACGCAAUGCCGCGUGGAGGAUGAAGGUCUUCGGAUUGUAAACUCCUGUUGCCAGGGACGAAUGCACUCGACCUAAUACGUCGUGAUGUUGACGGUACCGGUGGAGGAAGCCACGGCUAACUCUGUGCCAGCAGCCGCGGUAAUACAGAGGGUGCAAGCGUUAAUCGGAAUUACUGGGCGUAAAGCGUGCGUAGUCGGUUAUUCAAGUCGGGUGUGAAAGCCCCGGGCUCAACCUGGGAAUUGCAUUCGAUACUGUUUAGCUAGAGUUCGGCAGAGGGAAGUGGAAUUUCCGGUGUAGCGGUGAAAUGCGUAGAUAUCGGAAGGAACAUCAGUGGCGAAAGCGACUUCCUGGACCAGAACUGACGAUCAGGCACGAAAGCGUGGGGAGCAAA